Molecule: unclassified non-coding RNA, 331 nt
Filed under: soil metagenome
Description: partial contains 5.8S ribosomal RNA, internal transcribed spacer 2, and large subunit ribosomal RNA
Rfam family: 5.8S ribosomal RNA (bases 1-120)
Source: RNAcentral
GAUGAAGAACGUAGCGAAAUGCGAUAAGUAAUGUGAAUUGCAGAAUUCAGUGAAUCAUCGAAUCUUUGAACGCACAUUGCGCCCCCUGGUAUUCCGGGGGGCAUGCCUGUUCGAGCGUCAUUUCACCACUCAAGCCUCGCUUGGUAUUGGGCAACGCGGUCCGCCGCGUGCCUCAAAUCGACCGGCUGGGUCUUCUGUCCCCUAAGCGUUGUGGAAACUAUUCGCUAAAGGGUGUUCGGGAGGCUACGCCGUAAAACAACCCCAUUUCUAAGGUUGACCUCGGACCAGGUAGGGAUACCCGCUGAACUUAAGCAUAUCAAUAAGCGGAGGA